ACGGGUGAGUAACGCGUGGGAAUCUACCCAUCUCUACGGAAUAACGCAUGGAAACGUGUGCUAAUACCGUAUACGUCCUUCGGGAGAAAGAUUUAUCGGAGAUGGAUGAGCCCGCGUUGGAUUAGCUAGUUGGUGGGGUAAAGGCCUACCAAGGCGACGAUCCAUAGCUGGUCUGAGAGGAUGAUCAGCCACACUGGGACUGAGACACGGCCCAGACUCCUACGGGAGGCAGCAGUGGGGAAUAUUGGACAAUGGGCGCAAGCCUGAUCCAGCCAUGCCGCGUGAGUGAUGAAGGCCCUAGGGUUGUAAAGCUCUUUCACCGGUGAAGAUAAUGGCGGUAACCGGAGAAGAAGCCCCGGCUAACUUCGUGCCAGCAGCCGCGGUAAUACGAAGGGGGCUAGCGUUGUUCGGAUUUACUGGGCGUAAAGCGCACGUAGGCGGACUAUUAAGUCAGGGGUGAAAUCCCGGGGCUCAACCCCGGAACUGCCUUUGAUACUGGUAGUCUUGAGUUCGAGAGAGGUGAGUGGAAUUCCGAGUGUAGAGGUGAAAUUCGUAGA
Molecule: ribosomal RNA, 557 nt
Filed under: uncultured bacterium
Lineage: Bacteria
Description: bacterial SSU rRNA
Rfam family: Bacterial small subunit ribosomal RNA
Source: RNAcentral